RNAcentral lists this ribosomal RNA (446 nucleotides) under uncultured bacterium. RNAcentral's name for it is "partial 16S ribosomal RNA". It matches the Rfam family "Bacterial small subunit ribosomal RNA", at positions 331 to 794 of the family's 1533-position model. The record is from RNAcentral.
CCAGACUCCUACGGGAGGCAGCAGUGGGGAAUAUUGCACAAUGGGGGAAACCCUGAUGCAGCGACGCCGCGUGAGCGAUGAAGUAUUUCGGUAUGUAAAGCUCUGUCUUCAGGGACGAUAAUGACGGUACCUGAGGAGGGAGCCACGGCUAACUACGUGCCAGCAGCCGCGGUAAUACGUAGGGGGCAAGCGUUAUCCGGAUUUACUGGGUGUAAAGGGAGCGUAGACGGCAGCGCAAGUCUGAAGUGAAAUGCCGGGGCUUAACCCCGGAACUGCUUUGGAAACUGAGCAGCUAGAGUGCAGGAGAGGUAAGUGGAAUUCCUAGUGUAGCGGUGAAAUGCGUAGAUAUUAGGAGGAACACCAGUGGCGAAGGCGGCUUACUGGACUGUAACUGACGUUGAGGCUCGAAAGCGUGGGGAGCAAACAGGAUUAGAUACCCCUGUAAC